This 576-nucleotide ribosomal RNA is filed under the name Xylaria aristata. RNAcentral's name for it is "LSU rRNA". It matches the Rfam family "Eukaryotic large subunit ribosomal RNA", at positions 22 to 610 of the family's 3401-position model. The record is from RNAcentral. Lineage: Eukaryota; Fungi; Ascomycota; Sordariomycetes; Xylariales; Xylariaceae.
UACCCGCUGAACUUAAGCAUAUCAAUAAGCGGAGGAAAAGAAACCAACAGGGAUUGCCCUAGUAACGGCGAGUGAAGCGGCAACAGCUCAAAUUUGAAAUCUGGCCCUCGGGUCCGAGUUGUAAUUUGUAGAGGAUGUUUUUGGCGCGGUGCCUUCCGAGUUCCCUGGAACGGGACGCCUUAGAGGGUGAGAGCCCCGUACGGUUGGACACCAAGCCUCUGUAAAACUCCUUCGACGAGUCGAGUAGUUUGGGAAUGCUGCUCUAAAUGGGAGGUAAAUUUCUUCUAAAGCUAAAUAUUGGCCAGAGACCGAUAGCGCACAAGUAGAGUGAUCGAAAGAUGAAAAGCACUUUGAAAAGAGGGUUAAAUAGCACGUGAAAUUGUUGAAAGGGAAGCGUUUGCGACCAGACCUUUUCCUUGGGGAUCAUCCGGUGUUCUCACCGGUGCACUUCCCUUGGUUUAGGCCAGCAUCGGUUUUUGUAGGGGGAUAAAAACUGGAGGAACGUAGCUCCCUCGGGAGUGUUAUAGCCUCUUGUAUAAUACCCUUGCGGGGACCGAGGACCGCGCUUCGGCAAGG